UCCUCUUAGCACAUCAGCUCCUGGAAACAAAUGCACUUAACCAGAAAAAUAGGGACAUCAACCAGCAAAGAUGCAUCCUCAUUUAAUAGAGCUUGAAAUUACUAUAAUCUUUAAAGUACAGUGAGAAGAAGAAAUUUCACCUGCCUGCACAUCUGUCGUUGACUCUCCAUCUGACUUGGAGGGACUCUGAGGGACCAACCUGAGCCUGAGAAGAGGCAAGAUUCCCCUUCAAGGACACACUGGGAACUUACGGACCUCUUUCUCCAUGGUGCAGAGCGCAGAGAAGACAGCAGGAUUCUCAUCUCUCCUUCUGCAUUCCAUUUGAGACAAGAUGUUCGAAUUGAAGCAAAUGAGAAACAUACAAAGAAAUGAAGUAAAUAAAGAAGCUAUGGCCUCACCCUGGUAUGUUGCUGCAGGAGCGACAGCAGCAAACACAGGAAACUCAAGGAAAAUCAGUGUGGCUAGAGACAGAUACCGAACUGGAGCCUGGAAUGAGUUGAGGCUGGAGAGGGAGGUGAACAAACAGACUCAGAAUAGUCCUUGAGCUUGCCAUUGGGAAGUGAAAAUCAACUGCUUGAAUAAAUGUAAGGACUCAGGUAGAAAUCGCCUUGUGACCCAACAGCAGCCAAUAAGAUGGAAAUAAAGGCUACAAAGUUAUCAGAUGGCAUCUACAAGGAAUACUUAGAUGAGGAGAGACAGCAUCUCCCUAUGUUACGCAGGCUGGUCUCGAACUCCUGGCCUCAAGCAAUCCUCUUGCCUCAGCCUCCCAAAACGUUGGUAUUAUAGGCGAGCGCCACUGCACCUGACCCAUCAAGUGUUUUCUGUGGAAUGUGAGAUGCCCCCUACCCAGUACUUCCUCCUGCCAUGUUCACGAGGAGAAGCUGGUGAAGAUGGCUGUUUUGGUACAUUGCAUCAGGCCAAAUGACUGAAGUAUCAACAAAAGACCUCAAAAAAGAGUUCUUCAGAAGCCAUUUUCUUUUACCCAAGCCAUUGCUGGGAUGCCGAGGGUUUCAUUAUUUUUCUCAAUAUAAAUCAGAAGGUUUAAAGAGCUCUUAAAAAGAACUAUGUGAAUUUUCUGUGGUGAAGUUCCUUCUGCAUUUAUACCACCCUGAUCUCCAGUUCUCAUUCCUGGGAAAGCCAUGAUGUUUUACAAUUGCAUGUAAUUGAUACUAUGUACAAGGAGUUUAAAAAACUAUGCUGGCCGGGCGCGGUGGCUCAUGCCUGUAAUCCCAGCUCUUAGGGUGGCCAAGGCUGGUGGAUCACGAGGUCAAGAGAUCGAGACCAUCCUGGCCAACAUGGUGAAACCCUGUCUCUACUAAAAAUAUAAAAAAUUAGCCGGGCGUGGUGGCGGGUGCCUGUAGUCCCAGCUCUACCCGGGAGGCUGAGGCAGGAGAAUGGCGUGAACCCGGGAGGCAGAGCUUGUAGUGAGCCGAGAUCACGCCACUAUACUCCAGCCUGGGUGACAAAGCGAGACUCCGUCUCAAAAUAAACAAACAAACAAAAAAACCGAAAAACUAUGCUAUGAGCAAGUGGCACAUUAUUCUGUUGUCAAAAAUUCAAGUCACUGGGUGAACCCUGGUG
Long non-coding RNA from Symphalangus syndactylus (siamang), 1581 nucleotides. RefSeq lists it as uncharacterized. The record is from RefSeq and is a predicted model, not a curated record. Lineage: Eukaryota; Metazoa; Chordata; Mammalia; Primates; Hylobatidae.